This 2027-nucleotide ribosomal RNA is filed under the name Henneguya sp. y BZ-2019. RNAcentral's name for it is "SSU rRNA". It matches the Rfam family "Eukaryotic small subunit ribosomal RNA". Lineage: Eukaryota; Metazoa; Cnidaria; Myxozoa; Bivalvulida; Myxobolidae. The record is from RNAcentral.
GCGUAUACGCUCUUUUUAAAGAUUAAGCCAUGCACGUGCUAGUUCAUACAUUUUUAAUGUGAGACUGCGGACGGCUCAGUAUAUCAGUUAUAAUCUGCUCGAUUGUUAAGGUUAUUGGAUAACCGUGGGAAAUCUAGAGCUAAUACAUGCACCUCUCGGCGGAGGGCUUGCUCUUCGUCGAUUGCAUUUAUUAGAGCAAUACCAACCGUGUGCUACACACGAGGUGAAUCUAGAUAACUGUGCAGAUCGUAUGGCCUUGAGCUGACGACAUUUCGAUUGAAUUUCUGCCCUAUCAACUCUGUUGGCAGUGUAGUGGACUGCCAAGGUUUUUACGGGUAACGGGGAAUCAGGGUUCGAUUCCGGAGAGGGAGCCUGAGAAACGGCUACCACAUCCAAGGAAGGCAGCAGGCGCGCAAAUUACCCAAUCCAGACAAUGGGAGGUGGUGACGAAAAGUACCGAAUGGCAGCUUAAUGUUGCCAGUUUGGAAUGAAAACAAUUUAAGUAAUUGAAUUGAGUAACGACUGGAGGGCAAGUCUGGUGCCAGCAGCCGCGGUAAUUCCAGCUCCAGUAGCGUAUCUCAAAGUUGCUGCGCUUAAAACGCUCGUAGUUGGAUCACGCACUAUGCAUUGGUGUACUCGAGUGCUUGCAUGGUAAACCUUACACUCGGAUUUCGAUCCUCGAAUUUCUGCAGUAAAGGUGUGCAACGCUUGGGUAAUUAGCCAGUGUAUAGUAAUUGCACGUGAGGAUGGCCGUUAGCCUUGAGUGCGCUGAUGGUCGUGUCUCACGGGGUGUGCCUUGAGUAAAUCAGAGUGCUUAAAGCAGGCGUUAGCUUGAAUGUUGAUAGCAUGGAACGAACAAUCGUGUAUGGUGUGUGUUGGUAACGGCGUGUCGGAGUAUUCCUUCACACUGCAACACACGACACCGACCACCAAUUACGGAUGUUGGUUCCGUAUUGGGGUACUGAUUAAGAGGAGCGGUUGGGGGCAUUGGUAUUUGGCAGCGAGAGGUGAAAUUCUUGGACCUGCCAAGGACUAACAAAUGCGAAGGCAUCUGUCCAGACCGUAUCCAUUAAUCAAGAACGAAAGAGAGAGGUUCGAAGACGAUCAGAUACCGUCCUAGUUCUCUCUGUAAACUAUGCCGACCCGGGAUCAGUUUGGAGUAAUAUACCCACGCUCGAGGUUGGUCCCCCUGGGAAACCUGAAGUUUUUCGGUUGCGGGGGGAGUAUGGUCGCAAGGCUGAAACUUAAAGGAAUUGACGGAAGGGCACCACCAGGGGUGGAGCCUGCGGCUUAAUUUGACUCAACACGGGAAAACUUACCUGGUCCGGACAUCAAAAGGAUAGACAGACUGCCAGAUCUUUCUUGAUAUGGUGAUUGGUGGUGCAUGGCCGUUCUUAGUUCGUGGAGUGAUCUGUCAGGCCAAUCCCGGUAACGAACGAGACCACAUUCUCCAGUUGACGAGCCGGAGAAGGUGUUUAUAUUGGGAAUUUUUGUUCGCAAAAGUCCCUGGUGUUAGCAUUGUAGGCAUCGUAGGGUGCUCAGGGUGUAUCGGUUGAGGUGGCAACACUGAGGUCGGUGCAUUCGGGGUUACAUCUGCGCUCCCUCCGGCUUAGCAGUGUACGUCUUGCAAAAGAUGUGCAUUGUAUCAUGGAGAGACAACGGAAUAUACUAAAAAAAUCCGAGGAAGUGUGGCUAUAACAGGUCUGUGAUGCCCUUAGAUGUUCAGGGCUGCACGCGCGCUACAAUGACUACGACAGCGAGUCUCUGGAUCGAAAGAUUCGGGUAAUCUUGUAAUCGUAGUCGUGAUGGGGAUCGACGUUUGUAAAUACGUCGUGAAAGAGGAAUCCCUAGUACGUGCGAUUCAUGAAAUCGCGCGGAUUUAGUCCCUGCCCUUUGUACACACCGCCCGUCGCUACUACCGAGCGAAUGGUGUCAUAAUACCUUGGGAGCGGACGUCGCGCUGGGCCUGUGCUCGGAGCGACGCUGCGAUCAGCGUAGAAUGGCGCAAUUUCGAGGAAGUAAAAGUC